ACCCCAACCUGUGACGGUGUGGUGUGCAGUGUUAAAAUCCGCUGAUUAGGGUUCCGGCAGUGGGAUUCUCGAGCAGAUUGGUGGCAGACGAGCAUCCGGCUGUAGAUGGUGGUUUUCUGGUAGAUCUAAGUUUUAAACCCCCAGCCGCUCCUUUUCGUUCUCUCUCAAAGAUUCAGUCCAGAUCUGCCCUCACUUCGCGAUUCACCAUAAGCUAAGAGGAGACAUGAUAGAGGAGAAAGGGAGCCGACAAAGCCCUAGCUGUUGCAUCAGGCGGAGAUGAGUACUGGAGACCAACUUAGCGUUGUUGUGCCUCAGGAGCCUUAAUUUCAGUGCAAAUUAUACGAUUUCAAUACUCAUUUAGUUAAUUUAUUAUGUGAUUCUGCUUUUCCUCAAGAUCUGUUGCGAUUUACUCACACCGAAAUAUGAAUUUUGUGUUUUGUUUUUGGUAGUUAAAUUGAAGAAGUAGAUAUCAUGUUCCAUGCACUGAUGAACGAGAUAAACAUUAAUCUUGUGGCGUAUAAGACAAAAAGGAAGAACUACUAUGGAUGCCGACAAGAACCAUAUUACCAAAGACCAGUGCUUGGCGAGUGAGAAAAGACUCACAAGCGUUGUAUAGUCGUUUGGCUAAAGAAACAUGGAAAUCGUUUUGAGAUUGCUUGUUACAAGAACACGGUCCUCUCAUGGUGUCCUGGCGUUUGGUGGAGGAAACAGGCACAGAAGAUCAACAUUUGCGAAAUUUAAUCAGCGUUUCAGACGCAACUUCCUGAAAGGCCUGUUACGGUAGCAACGGACGAUUCUGUUUGAUCUGCGCUUUAUGGGAACACAUUGAAAUGAAUUAAGCAGGUUUGUAGUAGACAGUAGUGACAAUGAAGGCAAAUGGGAAGUCUGGUGAAGACCAGACCCAACUGGAAGAACUGCGUCGGUACUGUUGUGGAUUUUAUAUCUGUUUUUCUUUCUCUAUUUCUUAUUUAUACAGAAGUAGUGACGUUUACGUGCCAAGGGAUGAAGCCUUUUCUGAGAUGAAGAACCUAACGUUUAACGCCAAGACUGUAUUUUUAGUGCUGAAGGAAGUGUUACUUUCGGCCGAAACGUCAAUGAUUGACCAAGAUCUUGGGUUCCUGUACCUCACAAUGGUAGUUUACGGUCGGUCGAAACGUCAAUGGUAGUUUACGAACGGUAGAUGAUAAUGAUGAUGUAAGCAGAGGGCAGUAUUGUCAACUUGAUGAGGUUGAAAAUGGUGGAAAUAUUGUUCCUGAGAGCUUUGAAGAGCAGAUGAUGCUAGCGAUGGCGGUUUCAUUGGCCGAGGCUCGAACUAGGAUUAGCAGUACGCAAGAGGUCGCGUGGAUUUAGUGUGUGUUUUAAGGUGUAUUAUUUGUGUGUUGGUAUACAGUGAUGUAAAACAGAAAAAUAUGGAAGUGUAGAUUUGUGGGUAGAGGUUUGAGUCAUGAAUGCAUGCAUACAGUCAAUCAACCCCUUUGAAGAUUUUAAAGUCUUGUAUGAUUGUUGUUUAUGGGAGAAUUCAGAUUUGUUGUUUGGCCAUAAAAGCACAUGCUUUUGUUCAUCAAAAUUGUUUUUUUUGUUUCUGUUUA
This 1589-nucleotide long non-coding RNA is filed under the name Helianthus annuus (common sunflower). Lineage: Eukaryota; Viridiplantae; Streptophyta; Magnoliopsida; Asterales; Asteraceae. The record is from RNAcentral.